CCGAUUGAUUCUGUCGGCGGUCAUAUGCUUAUCUCAAAGGCUAAGCCAUGCAUGUCAAAGUUCAUACUGCCUUAAAUGGUGAAACCGCGAACGGCUCAUUACAACAGCUAUUAUUAUAUACUUGAUCUUGAUUUCCUACGUGGAUAACUGUGGUAAUUCUAGAGCUAAUACAUGCACCAAAGCUCCGAUUUUAUUGACGAGCGCAUCUAUUAGAUUAAAACCAAUCGAGCUUUAAACGGCUCGUUAAUUGGUGACUCUGAAUAGCUUAGCUGAUCGCAUGGUCUAGUACCGGCGACAUAUCUAUCAAGUAUCUGCCUUAUCAACUUUCGAUGGUAGUUUAUGUGCCUACCAUGGUUGUAACGGGUAACGGAGAAUAAGGGUUCGACUCCGGAGAGGGAGCCUGAGAAACGGCUACCACUUCCAAGGAAGGCAGCAGGCGCGCAAAUUACCCACUCUCAGCAAGAGGAGGUAGUGACGAAAAAUAACGAGACCGUUCUCAUUGAGGCCGGUUAUCGGAAUGGGUACAAUUUAAACCUGUUAACGAGGACCUAUGAGAGGGCAAGCCUGGUGCCAGCAGCCGCGGUAACUCCAGCUCUCAAAGUGUAUAUCGUUAUUGCUGCGGUUAAAAAGCUCGUAGUUGGAAUCCCCAGGCUGGGAGCAUCAUGCGCGUCGGAAGACGCGGUAUUAUUUAUAUGUUUACAAACUAUUGUUUUUUUCAUUAUUGUAUCAAAAAUAUCAGAUCCUUUCACCAUAGAGUCACUUGAGAAUAGAGUUACAGGUGGGUCCCCAGCAGCCACCCGGAUUUUUGAUAUAAUAGCAGGUUUACUCUCGCCAAAGACAAAAAAUUAAAUUUGAGGAAAAUAAUAAAAUAGACAAUGAAAUUAAAAAAUAUAUAUAUACAUAUAUAUGACUGUAUGUAUAUAUAUAUGAAAUAUAUAUAUAUAUAUAUAUAUGUAUAUAUAUAUAUAUAUAAAUAAAAUUUAAUUGGUUUGAUUUAAUUUAAUUGAUUUAAUUCCAAUUUAUUUUAUUUUAAUUUUAAUCGUUGUUUG
RNAcentral lists this non-coding RNA (1049 nucleotides) under Dracunculus medinensis (Guinea worm). Its description in RNAcentral is "Eukaryotic small subunit ribosomal RNA". It matches the Rfam family "Eukaryotic small subunit ribosomal RNA", at positions 4 to 1116 of the family's 1831-position model. The record is from Rfam by way of RNAcentral. Lineage: Eukaryota; Metazoa; Nematoda; Chromadorea; Rhabditida; Dracunculidae.